CGCAAGAACUCGUGUCUAUCAUAGGAAAACAAAAUCUACCAAAGUAGAAAUUGGAUAUACUAAACAUGACGGUGUCGCUGCAGUCCAAAUGGAGGAAUCAGAAGAACAAGCAAACAAGGACUCUGGAAAAGCCGCAUUCUCUGAAGCAUAUCAGAAUGAUGAGGUGAUGUUACUUGGCGAGGAUGGACAAAGCAGUUUCUGAUAUUUUUAGC
Long non-coding RNA from Pocillopora damicornis (cauliflower coral), 212 nucleotides. The record is from RefSeq and is a predicted model, not a curated record. Lineage: Eukaryota; Metazoa; Cnidaria; Anthozoa; Scleractinia; Pocilloporidae.